This 442-nucleotide ribosomal RNA is filed under the name uncultured bacterium. RNAcentral describes it as "partial 16S ribosomal RNA". It matches the Rfam family "Bacterial small subunit ribosomal RNA", at positions 338 to 795 of the family's 1533-position model. The record is from RNAcentral.
CCUACGGGAGGCAGCAGUGGGGAAUAUUGGGCAAUGGGCGCAAGCCUGACCCAGCAAAGCCGCGUGAAGGAAGAAGGCUUUCGGGUUGUAAACUUCUUUUGACAGGGAAGAGUAGAAGACGGUACCUGUCGAAUAAGCCACGGCUAACUACGUGCCAGCAGCCGCGGUAAUACGUAGGUGGCAAGCGUUGUCCGGAUUUACUGGGUUGAAAGGGCGUGUAGACGGGUUGAGAAGUCAGAUGUGAAAUCUUGCGGCUUAACCGCAGAACUGCAUUUGAAACUGGUGAUCUUGAGUACGGGAGAGGCAGACGGAAUUCGUGGUGUAGCGGUGAAAUGCUUAGAUAUUAGGAAGAACCCCAGUGGCGAAGGCAGUCUGCUGGACAGCAACUGACGGUGAAGCGCGAAAGCGUGGGGAGCAAACAGGAUUAGAUACCCGGGUAGUC